AUCUGACCACAAGGGUCGGAUAAGAUAAGAUCCAGAUUUCUUCGAUUCUUAAAUAGAAAAAAUACAAGUGAAAAAUGUGUCUCCCUAUUGCAUGUUAUAUUUUGACAUUAUGUUAAUUAACCAGACUGAAUGUAUACCUUGUUGGGGAAAAAUAUCCGAUUGUACUUGUAACGAUGUGCUGGGUAUACCCAGGAAUUGCAGACAAAAUGGAGUUGACCGUGCUCGGGAACAUCUUCUAAUGUUAUUGUCUUGAGGUAGAAUUGGCUAUGGUGAUGGUUUCUGAUCAGCAAAGCGCCGGGAGCUCCAUGGGACUCAUCCCAAUCCAAGGAAAUGGUAAAACUAGUUUCACCGGCCGACAACGAUGUAAUGGUUGUAGCCCAUUUCUCCAGGAAGAGAGACUGACCUGCUGCUUCAGGAUGAGUGGCACUAAUGAGCUGCAUGGAAACACCUUUGCCCAAGAGCUCAUGGAUUCUAUCAACGAACGAAGCUUUGAGGUCGUUGAAGUCCAACACAUUCUUCUUCAUCAACACAACUUUUCCUCUGAUUCUGUUGCUCCCACUCACCAUGUAAUCUGGCUUCUCGUCGUCAUUGUCCUUCUCCUUGUCCUUCAAACAAUAUGCUUCCAUCACUCUACUCACCGCUCUUGUUGAACUUGGACAGAGCCCACCCCUCAGAAAAAAGGUCAAAAUCUCAGGAAGAUGGAUGAGAAUGUGGGAAGGGAUUUAGCUCUGUGUUCGAGUAAGAUGUGAAUCAGGUAAUCCUUUCCUCCUUUUGAGGGAGGGUUUAUUAAUGAUAUUUCAGAUUAAUGAUUUUAUUUUUUUUUCUUUUUUUUGGACUUUUAUUGACAACACACUGUGGGAUCCUUGUGGAACUUUUAAUAUUUCUCUCUUUACUAGUGAACAAUUAAAGGACUGGAUUCCAUCUUGGCAAACCCAAUCGCUAUGUAUUUAUUUAAUAAAGUGCAUACAAUUGUAUAUGUUACAUGACGUAAAUUUAUCGUUUUAUUGUACAAA
Non-coding RNA from Malus domestica (apple), 1013 nucleotides. NCBI's taxonomy places the organism in Eukaryota, Viridiplantae, Streptophyta, Magnoliopsida, Rosales, Rosaceae. The record is from RefSeq and is a predicted model, not a curated record.